CCUACGGGAGGCAGCAGUGAGGAAUAUUGGUCAAUGGGCGAGAGCCUGAACCAGCCAAGUCGCGUGAGGGAGUACUGCCCUAUGGGUUGUAAACCUCUUUUGUCGGGGAGCAAAAGCCGGACGUUUCCGGCUGUGAGAGUUCCCGAAGAAAAAGCAUCGGCUAACUCCGUGCCAGCAGCCGCGGUAAUACGGAGGAUGCGAGCGUUAUCCGGAUUUAUUGGGUUUUAAGGGUGCGCAGGCGGAUUUUUAAGUCAGCGGUAAAAUCGUGGGGCUCAACCCCAUCCAGCCGUUGAAACUGGGGAUCUAGAGUGUGCGAGAGGUAUGCGGAAUGCGUGGUGUAGCGGUGAAAUGCAUAGAUAUCACGCAGAACCCCGAUUGCGAAGGCAGCAUACCGGUGCACAACUGACGCUCAGGCACGAAAGCGUGGGUAUCGAACAGGAUUAGAUACCCGAGUAGUC
RNAcentral lists this ribosomal RNA (458 nucleotides) under uncultured bacterium. RNAcentral describes it as "partial 16S ribosomal RNA". It matches the Rfam family "Bacterial small subunit ribosomal RNA", at positions 338 to 795 of the family's 1533-position model. The record is from RNAcentral.